Molecule: ribosomal RNA, 566 nt
Filed under: uncultured Streptomyces sp.
Lineage: Bacteria; Bacillati; Actinomycetota; Actinomycetes; Kitasatosporales; Streptomycetaceae
Description: bacterial SSU rRNA
Rfam family: Bacterial small subunit ribosomal RNA
Source: RNAcentral
CCUACGGGAGGCAGCAGUGGGGAAUAUUGCACAAUGGGCGCAAGCCUGAUGCAGCGACGCCGCGUGAGGGAUGACAGCCUUCGGGUUGUAAACCUCUUUCAGCAGGGAAGAAGCGCGAGUGACGGUACCUGCAGAAGAAGCACCGGCUAACUACGUGCCAGCAGCCGCGGUAADACGUAGGGUGCGAGCGUUGUCCGGAAUUAUUGGGCGUAAAGAGCUCGUAGGCGGCCUGUCGCGUCGGAUGUGAAAGCCCGGGGCUUAACCCCGGGUCUGUAUUCGAUACGGGCAGGCUAGAGUUCGGCAGGGGAAAUUGNAAUUCCUGGUGAAGCGGUGAAAUGCCCAGAUAUCAGNAGGAACACCGGUGGCGAAGGGGAUCUUUGGGCCGAUACUGAUGCUAGGAGCGAAAGCGUGGGGAGCGAACAGGAUUAGAUACCCUGGUAGUCCACGCCGUAAACGUUGGGCACUAGGUGUGGGCGGCAUUCCACGUCGUGCGUGCCGCAGCUAACGCAUUAAGUGCCCCGCCUGGGGAGUACGGCCGCAAGGCUAAAACUUAAAGGAAUUGACGG